This 240-nucleotide ribosomal RNA is filed under the name uncultured bacterium. RNAcentral's name for it is "partial 16S ribosomal RNA". It matches the Rfam family "Bacterial small subunit ribosomal RNA", at positions 15 to 236 of the family's 1533-position model. The record is from RNAcentral.
GAUUCUGGCUCAGGAUGAACGCUGGCGGCGUGCCUAACACAUGCAAGUCGGGCGAAGCACUUUGCUUAGAUUCUUCGGAUGAAGAGGAUUGUGACUGAGCGGCGGACGGGUGAGUAACGCGUGGGUAACCUGCCUCAUACAGGGGGAUAACAGUUAGAAAUGACUGCUAAUACCGCAUAAGACCACAGCACCGCAUGGUGCGGGGGUAAAAACGUACCGUGGUAUGAGAUGGACCCGCGU